UACGUAGGCAGCGAGCGUUGUUCGGAGUUACUGGGCGUAAAGGGUGUGUAGGCGGUUCUCUAAGUUUGGUGUGAAAUCUCCCGGCUCAACCGGGAGGGUGCGCCGAAAACUGGGGGGACUCGAGUGCGGGAUGGGAGAGUAGAAUUCCUGGUGUAGCGGUGAAAUGCGUAGAUAUCAGGAGGAAUACCGGUGGUGUAGACGGCUCUCUGGACCGCCACUGACGCUGAGACACGAAAGCGUGGGUAGCAAACAGG
RNAcentral lists this ribosomal RNA (254 nucleotides) under uncultured bacterium. Its description in RNAcentral is "partial 16S ribosomal RNA". It matches the Rfam family "Bacterial small subunit ribosomal RNA", at positions 524 to 776 of the family's 1533-position model. The record is from RNAcentral.